GUCGUAGUCGUGGUCGUAGCCAUAGUCAUCGUCGUUGGCCGUCGGAAUGCCUUCCUUUACCUCAACCCCCCCCCCUUCCCCCACCUACUUCUCUCUCCGAUUAUAAUGCCUUCGUCUACUAACGAGUUGUCAUUGAAAGUGUUCAAGAUCUAGUGCAGUAAACGGCCAUAUAAAUACCUUCACGUAAAUACAAUGAGGCAGCUGUAUAUAUCGAGGCCGUCACGACGACUUCUGGAAUGAGACUUCUACUCGCGCUAGGUGAACGUUUUUUUCCCUCUCGUUUCUCGAGAUUCAAGGAUUCCAAACACUACUUGACCCAGAUCUUCGUUAAACUUCGACCAAGCGCGGCGUAAACAACUCGGUAGUACUAUUUCUAGAUAUACAUACGUAGGCCUUCACGAGACUAUCCCCCAUCAUCCACAUCAUCGCCUCCCUAUUUUCUAACCGAGCAGGAGGAGAACCCUUCAUCAAUCGGAUCACAAGUAGAGCGUGCACAUCGCCUAUUGCAGAGAGGGUCCUUCUUUUGCUCUUAAUUCUCUUUACGAACAACGGCGACCAUCUACACGAUACUGUUACUCUCAAAUGAAACUCUCUCUUUCUCUUUCUCUCUCUCUCUCUCUCUCUCUCUCUCCCUCUCCUUUUCUCUUCUAUUUUAUUGUCUUUCUUCGUUAAUCACAAUAUUACUUUGUCGUCCGAGUUUUGAAAACAAAAAGGAAAGAGAAAAGUAAUAAAAAAAUAAAGGAAAAAAUCGUCACAAGAUAAGAAACAAUAAGUAAUAAGGAUUAUAUAUAUAUAUAUAUAUAUUUUUUUUUUUUCGUCCGUACAAUUAAUAAAAAAUUAUGUCAUUGUGUCGAGAUCAGGUGAUUCUUUCUUUUCUUUUUUCUUCUUUUGCGCAUAAAAAUAUUGCAAAGGGUUCUACGGCUUAACUUUACGCUCUUGAUUCUGCUUAAGCUCGCUAAGAGAGCGUAUUUCGUAGCAACGGACAUGCGCAUGCGUUCGUAAACGACGUCGCAGUGAGCGUAAGUAAGUAAGUAAGUAAGUAAGUAAGUAAGUAAGUAAGUAAGUAAGUAAGUAAUAAGUACUUAUCCGCGGAGUAAUAAAAUAAAUUACGAGAGUUUUCUUGGCUGAUCCAGAUUCCGUCACGAAAUCGAAACGUUCUAAAAAGAGAAUCGAUUUACUUAUCGAAAGAGAAAAAGAAAAAAAAUAAAACACGAAAGUAAAAGAAGACGAAGAAGAAUUAAAAUAUCCGCGUUGCGUUACUAUUUCUAUCUACAUAUAUAUAUAUAUAUAUAUAGAUAGAUAGAUAGAUAGAUAGAUAGAUAAAU
Vespa velutina is the source of this 1325-nucleotide long non-coding RNA. RefSeq lists it as uncharacterized. NCBI's taxonomy places the organism in Eukaryota, Metazoa, Arthropoda, Insecta, Hymenoptera, Vespidae. The record is from RefSeq and is a predicted model, not a curated record. The transcript is spliced from 3 exons.